AGGGAUUUAGUUUAAUUAAAAUUUUUGUUUUGCAAACAUGAGAUUAUAUCUCUA
This 54-nucleotide transfer RNA is filed under the name Strongyloides procyonis. RNAcentral's name for it is "tRNA-Ala". The record is from RNAcentral. Lineage: Eukaryota; Metazoa; Nematoda; Chromadorea; Rhabditida; Strongyloididae.